Molecule: long non-coding RNA, 1550 nt
Filed under: Homo sapiens (human)
Lineage: Eukaryota; Metazoa; Chordata; Mammalia; Primates; Hominidae
Description: HSALNT0173182
Source: RNAcentral
AUAUGUCACCGUGAGAUUCCCUAUGCAGAGGCCCAUGUGGCAACAAACUGAUGUGUCCUUCCAACAACCAGGCCUGAGACCUCACAAGACCCAACUGGAUCUCCCAGACAGAGCAGGCAGAACACCAUUUCUGCUGCCCCACAGCCCUCAAAGUUGUUACUCCCCGACUCUGGAAGGUUCUCAGUGACUAGAGACUGGUGCGGACCCCCAGCACAGUGUAGCCACCCCCAUGAAAACGUGGGAACCCUCAAGAGACAACUGAAAAAAUCUCUCUCACAACCAUCAUCAAGAUCCCAUUCCCUGCUGCCUCCAAGCUGGGGAGAGAACAUAAAGCUUGAGCUCGCCUCAGACCAGUGGUAUACAGCUCAGGACAGCCAAGGUGAGAUCUGCAACCAACACUCAAGUGGAAGAGGAGCACACACUUUCAGACCACUGAGGGGGUGCAUGACUGCAAUCAUGAGCAAAAUACAGAUGAGCAUGUGGCUGAAGAAGAGUCUACCUACUGGCCAUUAUAUUUAAGCACCAUCUACUGCAUCACAGUGUAACAUCAACAGCAAAAAUACUUUGUUAAUAUACCCCCUGGGGAACUAAGGACAAUAAUUUAACUACAAAUAAAGACCCUACCUAAAGCCUUAGCCCUCUGAAAAUAUCCAGAAAAAAAAGUCUACUGACUGUACUCAAAUUACACUGCAGUUAAAGGAACAUCAACCCACACAGAUAACAAAGAAACAACAUGAGAACUCUGGCAACUCAAAAAAGCCAGAGUGUCUUUUUUCCUCCAAAUGACUACAUUAAUUCCCCAGUAAGGGAUCUUAACUUGGCCGAAAUGGCUAAUAUUACAGAAAUAGAUUUCAGAAUAUGGUCAGGAAGGAAGAUCAUUGAGAUUCAGGAGAAAGUCAAAACCCAAUCCAAGAAAUAUAAAGAUUACAAUAAAAUGAUACAAGAGCUGAUACACAAAAUGGUCAUUAUAAGAAGAAUGAAACUGACCUGAUAGAGCUGAAAAAUGCACUAUAAGUGUUUCAUAAUGCAAUUGCAAGUAUUAACAGCAUAAUAGACCAAGCUGAAAGAAUAUCAGAGCUUAAGGACUGGUUCUUUGAAAUAACUCAUUCAAUCAAAAGUAAAGAGAAAAGAAUAAAAGACGAAUAAACAAGACCUCUGAGAAAUAUAGGAUUAUAUAAAGAAACCAAAUCUAUGACUCAUUGGCAUCCCUGAAAGAGCUAGGGAAAAAGCAAUCAACUUGGAAAACAUAUUUCAGGUUAUCACCCACAAAAUCUUCCUCAACCUCACUAGAGAGGACAAAAUUCAAAUCCAGGAAAUUCGGAGAACUCAUACAAGAUACUACAAAAGACCAUCCCCGAGACACAUAAUCAUCAGAUUCCCCAAGGUCAAAAUGUAAGAAAAAAAUGCUAAAGGAAACUAGAAAGAAAGGACAGGUCACCUACAAAGAGGACCCCAUCAGGCUAAUAGCAGACCUUUCAGUAGAAACUCUACAAGCCAGAGGAGACGGGGGCCUAUAUUCAGCAUUCUGAAAGGAAGAAAUUCCAACCAAG